AAUUAAAAAAAUAGGCGCUAUAUUUUCCCUCUUCUCCCCCCAAGCUCACCCUACGCCUGCCCCACUCUCCCUCCAAAAAGACCCUCAGUCUAUUGUUGAUCAAAACCUGAAAUUGCUAUCAAAAAUUUAUGUGAGAAGAGAAAAACAUUUGUCACCUCCGCCGGCAUCAACUGCUCAUAUUAGAGUUUCUUCUCAUCAAGAUUCAGUCGUUCUCCAGUUGGGUUUUCAAAAAUUUAGAGCCUUAGAAGGAUAAAUCUCAAUGCGUGAAAAUUAGGCAGUGGUUUUGACGAUCGAAGCUUAACAGUGAUUUGCAUUUUUUGGGUGUUACCAUAUAAAGGUAUUUCUAUUGAGUUUUAGAUAUCAGUUUGGUGUUUGAGUUUUUGCUUCACUUAAUUGUUAUGUUUCCAGUUCACAACUUGUAGCAACAAAUCUUGUGAUGGCUCUUUUUACUUUGUUUAAUUUUUCAAAAUCUCUUAUAGAGAAUUGUUGUCCAGUAUUUGCGGAAAUGAUUAGUUCAUUUUUUUUCUUAGAUUGAUCAGUAUAAUAGGUGUUUAAGUUGUAAAAGCAUUCAAGCACUUGUCAUUAUAGUGAACUGUUGUUACUCUUUCAACUCUGAAAGAGGUGCAUGACUAAUGUUUAGGUUGCUGAGGUAUCGAUUUCACUGAAUCCAGUAGCCGACCUUCUUUGCUGUUUUCCCUUGUUGGUUACUUGAUAUAAAGGUCAUCUCUUGGAAAGAAAGAGAAUGACAUUUUUCUUCCAAAACACGGCUUGUAACUUUCAUAUGAUGUGAUUCAGCUGGUAGAGCUGAUGGACAAUUACUCUGAUACAACCAAGUUGAAAUGUCGAGCUUGCAAAUUAUCAUGGAGUUUAAAAUGUGAAGUCUUAACUGCUAUUUUUAGUGAAAGAUUGAGAAAAUCGAUUAUCUGCGAUGGGACAUAUUAUUUUUCUUUAUUGUAUAACAUAAAUUAAGUUCUAUUAUACGGGAAAAAUAAUGAUUCAUUUUAUUGAAAUGGUACGUCUCUGCAUGUCAUAUCUCAUCGAUCAUAUAUGCAUGUGUGUUCUUCAAUGUGGCUCCUUAUCUUUUUAUAUUUCACCUGCUUGGGUUGAUUGCUCAGACCACUUUUGUAUGAAGGAAACAUAUGGAAAUGAAUCUUCUGAUUCUAGUAAUGAAGAUUUUGAGGGUGGUCCUUCACCCAAGGAGAGAGAGAGAGAUCAAAAGUGCCAAAGCUACUAUGACUUCUCCUAGUUCGACUUUAGCAGAUACAAAGUACCAAAGUGGGUAGCAGAAAGGGAGUAGACAUGCUUCUGAUAGGGGUCUCUGUGAGAAACUCAAAAUUGGAGGCAUAGACACCUCUGAACUUCAUUCAAGUGGUAAAAAGAAAACAUAUAGGGAAGGUGCCAUCAAGCUCAAUCAUUUUGGGGUUUCAGAGGCUCUACGAAUCCUUCAAGGAAAAUCAGUAUCCUGACCGUGAUGCAAAUGAGAAGUUGAGUAAAGAAUUAGGCCUAACAGCUCACCAGGUUUUAUGAGUUCUCCCUGGCAUAUGUUAAUUUCAGCUUCGUCCGCAUUUUCUCCACCUGUAUCUUCAAUUUUGCUUUGUUGCUGCCUUCUUUUUCCUUAGUUUCUUUUUGUCAAAUAUACAAGUCAGUAAAUGGUUUGAAAGUGCUCGUCAUUGCCAUCGUCAUUCUUCUCGCUAGGACUCAAUUAUGAGUUAAAAAGUAAGAAUAUCCUUCCUCACCAAAUAUAAUGGGAGAACUACUUGGAAUUGAAUCUCUAUAUAUGGUAAAGUUAAAGUUGAACAGAGUAGCAUUUCUUAUGUAAUGUUGGGAUAAAUAUAAAAUGUGCAUUUGUUUUCUGCUCUAUGAGCUAUUUACAUUACCAACAAGAAAACAAAUCAAAUAAAUUGUUAGUAACUCAUGAAAGGGGAACACUUUUAGAUGUUUAAACUUCUGAACAUUCUUCCAAUCUUGCGUUGUCUGCCUUUAAAGUGAACGUCUUAAUUCUUUUAGUGUUUCCUCCCGAGUAAUGAAUUAUAUUGUUCCUUGAACCUUGCUUUAAACUUGUUUUUUUUUUUUUAAUUAUGCCUAAUCUUUGCUUUACAUUAUCCACGUGAGAUAACUGCCGGGAGUCUGAAUUUAGUAUUAGAUUCUGCACCCUCCUGUUAUUUGGAUGACAAUAUAUGGACCUGAAAAGGCCAAGAUCUUUUCAUUAUGCAUUGUUGUGCUUUUUGUAUAUUUUAUUUAUGUUGUUGUAUAUUUUGAAGCUAAGUCACUUAUACGCAUCAAUCAACUAUGCCCAUAGUAACUAGUUUUGAUCAUACUUUCCCGUCUAUUUGAUUCUAAUUCUAACUGGAUUCACAAGAAUCCUAGGAGAUUGUAGCUCCAUGGAAUCAUAUUUUAGCUUUAAAAUUUUGAUAAAUUAUUCUGUGACCAGAGUAUCAAUUUGAGCCUUGCUUCUUGAGAGGCAUAUUUAUCACUACUAAGUAGUUGGGAAGCGUCACGCCUCAUUUAUAAGACAGUUAGGUGUAUUUGUUCGUGAUCAUUAAAUGUGUCCAUUGAGGGUAUACUCAUGGGCGGACAUCGAAGAAGAUAAGCUGGAACAGAGGAAGCUAUUACUGUAAGGAUUUAGAGCAUCAUUUUCUUGAUUUAUUUUUCAAGCUUGAUGCAUGUCAAAUAACUUGUGUUUGUUGCUGGUUGUGAACAUUAUAUGUGAGACCUUGGACUCACUCUUUUUUCCAUCUUUACAGCCACGCGCCAACAAUCUUUCCAUUCCCAAAAUAUUUCAUCUUUUUAGACACCCAUACUCACUAAUCUGGUUUCUUUCAGUGGUUGUGGGGAUUAUUAUGCUUGAUGCUCUAAAAUCCUUGUAGUAUUAAUCUUUUGUUUCAUAAUAUUUGUAUUUUUAAUUAUUAUGCUCGCUGCAUUAAUGGAGAUUGAGACUAUCAUCAGAUGCUUUAAAUGAGAAUUACUUAAUUAGAAGUUGUGUAUUAAUCUUCUGAAGUAGCUUGAAAGUCUUACUUUCUUAUGCUCCGCUAAAGGUAGAUGAUACUUAUUUAUUUGUUUAUUUUCUUAUUUUAGAAGGGAGAUGGCUUUAUUUUUGGAUUCCGGAUAUAUACAGUAUAAAGAAAAGUUGUUUGUUCUAUGUUCAAUUCUUACCUUAGUGGGGAAAUCGAUAGCAUGUUCAUAUUGUUAGUCUUCUUUUCCUUUUGGCUUGUGUUAGGGUAUCCUGACUGGAUUUUUUAGUUAGUUUUAUUUGAUUAUUAGCAAUUAGAGUCUAGUAUUUAGUGAUGCUACCGUGAUGUAUUUUCAUAUGUCCUGUAUUUUUCUAAGCAGGUACUUUAGAACUUCUAAGAUCAUAAGUAAUUGUAAUUGUAAGGUAUUGUCAUCUCUCCAAUGAGAAAGUAAAAAAGGAAUAACCAUAAAAAAGAAUACAAAUUCAGAAUUUGCAUAAAAGUCUUAGAAAAUGAAUUACCAAAAUGAUUUUGGAAUUGUUUGUGUCUCCGUAAAAAGAAAUUAAAUGAGUCUUUCAAGUCCCUUGGUGGAGUUUGCAGCCAGUUUGUAUAGCAGUUUGAUUAAAGAAGAUAUUGAAGCUUUAUUAUUAUUAGUAUCAUUUACGUUUCUUAAUUUGUAAUUUGUUAUAAUGAGAUCUGACAUUUUGUUCACUUUUGUCAUGGACCUACUGGAGGCAAUUUGAUCAAGAAGGCUAUAUAGUUCUAAUACAAGUCAUAUACGAGUAAAGCGUAGCAGAUCAAGAAUUUGGAAGUUCGAAGUAUCAAUUCUUGAAACAGUGCAGAGCAAAAAGUUGAAAUACAAGAAAUUUAUUUUCUUAGGGGUGGUUUAAAGACGUUUUAUGUACAUUGAACGCAUUUUCUCUUUUUAGGAGUUGUUAAAACAUUGCCAUACAAUUUGGACUGUUUUAUUAUUCAUAUGAAUAUUGAUUAUUUAAUAUA
Non-coding RNA from Nicotiana tabacum (common tobacco), 3947 nucleotides. The record is from RefSeq and is a predicted model, not a curated record. NCBI's taxonomy places the organism in Eukaryota, Viridiplantae, Streptophyta, Magnoliopsida, Solanales, Solanaceae.